UGUGUGUGUGUGUGUGUGUGUGUGUGUGUAUGUAUAUGUGUGUAUAUGUGUGUGUGUGUGUAUACACACACACACACACACACACACACACACA
Molecule: non-coding RNA, 94 nt
Organism: Podarcis lilfordi (Lilford's wall lizard)
Lineage: Eukaryota; Metazoa; Chordata; Lepidosauria; Squamata; Lacertidae
Source: the annotation of a GenBank genome assembly